GAGCAUAUUUAAACCUGACCAGGCCGCUCAGCGUGGGACACUUUUGCUGGUCAGCAAUGUGUGUGGAGUUUGGUUUGCUGUGUGUAAUUGCAGUUGGCUUCCCCAGCCUUACUCCUGAUGAACCCCACGCUAGACCCAAGGAGCAGCAUUCCCCAAGUUACUCAUCAAAACGAGAGGACCGAUUCGACAGGCUGCUGAAGAUAAAGCAACACCCUGGAUGUGCCACCACGGUUUGUGUACUAUCUCCCUCAAAAGAAGAAAACCCACAAACAUCAGGAAUUAUUCUGUCUGAAGUGAAAAAGAUGAGCGAAGAGCAUUCACC
RNAcentral lists this long non-coding RNA (322 nucleotides) under Aquila chrysaetos chrysaetos. RNAcentral's name for it is "lncRNA (ENSACCG00020002432.1)". Lineage: Eukaryota; Metazoa; Chordata; Aves; Accipitriformes; Accipitridae. The record is from RNAcentral.